RNAcentral lists this transfer RNA (74 nucleotides) under Bacteroidetes bacterium HGW-Bacteroidetes-16. Its description in RNAcentral is "tRNA-Asn". It matches the Rfam family "tRNA". From Rfam's summary of the family: Transfer RNA (tRNA) molecules are approximately 80 nucleotides in length. Their secondary structure includes four short double-helical elements and three loops (D, anti-codon, and T loops). RNAcentral also lists the same sequence under 2 other names. The record is from RNAcentral. Lineage: Bacteria; Pseudomonadati; Bacteroidota.
UCCUCCUUAGCUCAGUUGGUUAGAGCAUCUGACUGUUAAUCAGAGGGUCGCAAGUUCAAGUCUUGCAGGGGGAG